GAAAAAAAUCAAAAUGAUUGCACAUUCUCAUGCCUCGACAGGUGAGCUAACCUACGGCCAGAUGUGUUUGAUUAUAGUAUUGUAGGUACAGAAUUUAAAGCACUAUGAUGUAGUAGAGUCGCGUCACGUCUGUUUUAGUUAUUAUAUUUUUGAUUAAAUUGAAGUUUAUUUUCAAAAUCUACAUUUAGAAUGUAUUAACCGCGCAUCUAUAUAUAUAUAUAUAUAUAAAUAUAAAUCCAAACAAACGGAAGGAGAAAAAAAAACACACAACAAAACCAAC
RNAcentral lists this long non-coding RNA (280 nucleotides) under Mytilus galloprovincialis (Mediterranean mussel). The record is from RNAcentral. Lineage: Eukaryota; Metazoa; Mollusca; Bivalvia; Mytilida; Mytilidae.